This 253-nucleotide ribosomal RNA is filed under the name uncultured bacterium. RNAcentral's name for it is "partial 16S ribosomal RNA". It matches the Rfam family "Bacterial small subunit ribosomal RNA", at positions 524 to 776 of the family's 1533-position model. The record is from RNAcentral.
UACGUAGGGUGCGAGCGUUGUCCGGAAUUACUGGGCGUAAAGAGCUCGUAGGCGGUUUGUUGCGUCGGCUGUGAAAUCCCGAGGCUCAACCUCGGGUCUGCAGUCGAUACGAGCAAACUAGAGUGUUGCAGGGGAGACUGGAAUUCCUGGUGUAGCGGUGAAAUGCGCAGAUAUCAGGAGGAACACCGGUGGCGAAGGCGGGUCUCUGGGCCGUAACUGACGCUGAGGAGCGAAAGCGUGGGGAGCGAACAGG